AUUGAACGCUGGCGGCAUGCCUUACACAUGCAAGUCGAACGGCAGCACGGGAGCAAUCCUGGUGGCGAGUGGCGAACGGGUGAGUAAUAUAUCGGAACGUGCCCAGUCGUGGGGGAUAACGUAGCGAAAGCUACGCUAAUACCGCAUACGAUCUACGGAUGAAAGCGGGGGAUCGCAAGACCUCGCGCGAUUGGAGCGGCCGAUAUCAGAUUAGGUUGUUGGUGGGGUAAAGGCUCACCUAGGCGACGAUCCGUAGCUGGUCUGAGAGGACGACCAGCCACACUGGAACUGAGACACGGUCCAGACUCCUACGGGAGGCUG
This 321-nucleotide ribosomal RNA is filed under the name uncultured Pseudomonadota bacterium. RNAcentral's name for it is "bacterial SSU rRNA". It matches the Rfam family "Bacterial small subunit ribosomal RNA", at positions 30 to 351 of the family's 1533-position model. The record is from RNAcentral. Lineage: Bacteria; Pseudomonadati; Pseudomonadota.